Molecule: ribosomal RNA, 301 nt
Filed under: uncultured bacterium
Lineage: Bacteria
Description: partial 16S ribosomal RNA
Rfam family: Bacterial small subunit ribosomal RNA
Source: RNAcentral
AGCGCCGCGGGAAUACGUAGGGUGCAAGCGUUAAUCGGAAUUACUGGGCGUAAAGCGUGCGCAGGCGGUUAUAUAAGACAGAUGUGAAAUCCCCGGGCUCAACCUGGGAACUGCAUUUGUGACUGUAUAGCUAGAGUACGGCAGAGGGGGAUGGAAUUCCGCGUGUAGCAGUAAAAUGCGUAGAUAUGCGGAGGAACACCGAUGGCGAAGGCAAUCCCCUGGGCCUGUACUGACGCUCAUGCACGAAAGCGUGGGGAGCAAACAGGAUUAGAUACCCCUGUAGUCCCUGUCUCUUAUACAC